CAGAAUCCGAAGCAAGGAAGGGCGAGUUGCCAAAAAUCUGCCACGUGGGAGGGGCAAAUCGCACUUGGAAAACUGCGGCAUCUGCGUUCUUCUUGUUACAUCCAGCUGCGUGUUCCUUUUAAAAAGCCGGGACAAGACUUCCCACAGACUUCUACUUUUUAAGCACUGUGGAGGACUGAUUUUGGAGAAAGGGAAACUGCAUGAGUGAUGCUAUGUCCUCUGUACCUCAUUAGGAGACACAUGAUUUCCUCAAGAAUGAAACCCAAACACAGAAGUCCCACCAUGAUGAGAGAUCACUUCUGGCUACCUUCCUCUGCCCACACUGAUCGUCUUGUGAUGCUGUGCUCCUCUUGCUCGGCAAAGAGGUGGGGGAAGAGCUUCCCUCAAAGUAGUCGUCUUUGACGUGCUCCCCAACAAAUACUCUCCAUUUUGUUUCUGUUUUCCUCCUGAUAGACACUUACUAUUUCAUCACUUAUGCAGAGGACACACUGCCAAGACCCUGAGAC
Molecule: long non-coding RNA, 506 nt
Organism: Rhinolophus ferrumequinum (greater horseshoe bat)
Lineage: Eukaryota; Metazoa; Chordata; Mammalia; Chiroptera; Rhinolophidae
Exons: 3
Source: RefSeq, a predicted model, not a curated record